Molecule: ribosomal RNA, 434 nt
Filed under: uncultured bacterium
Lineage: Bacteria
Description: partial 16S ribosomal RNA
Rfam family: Bacterial small subunit ribosomal RNA
Source: RNAcentral
AGCGAACGCUGGCGGCAGGCCUAACACAUGCAAGUCGAACGAACCUUUCGGGGUUAGUGGCGGACGGGUGAGUAACACGUGGGAACGUGCCUUUAGGUUCGGAAUAACUCAGGGAAACUUGUGCUAAUACCGAAUGUGCCCUUCGGGGGAAAGAUUUAUCGCCUUUAGAGCGGCCCGCGUCUGAUUAGCUAGUUGGUUGAGGUAAUGGCUCACCAAGGCGACGAUCAGUAGCUGGUCUGAGAGGAUGAUCAGCCACAUUGGGACUGAGACACGGCCCAAACUCCUACGGGAGGCAGGAAUGGGGGAUCUUGCGGAAUGGGCGGAAGCCUGACGGAGCCAUGCCGCGUGAAUGAUGAAAGUCUUAGGAUUGUAAAAUUCUUUCACCGGGGACGAUAAUGACGGUACCCGGAGAAGAAGCCCCGGCUAACUUCGUG